UUUCUCAAAAGUGAGAUUACAAGUGGAUCAACUUUCAAAUGCAGUGUUUGAUAUACCAUUUUGUAGCUCUGAGUCUCUACUUUUAUAUCAUAAUUUUGCUACAUAAGACCGAAUCCGGGUGGUGAGUCAAUCCAGGUGGUGAGUUAUUCCGGGUGGUGAGUCAAUCCAGGUGGUGAGUUAUUCCGGGUGGUGAGUUAAUCCAGGUGGUGAGUUAUUCCGGGUGGUGAGUUAAUCCAGGUGGUGAGUUAUUCCGGGUGGUGAGUUAAUCCAGGUGGUGAGUUAUUCCGGGUGGUGAGUUAUUCCGGGUGGUGAGUUAUUCCGGGUGGUGAGUCAAUCCAGGUGGUGAGUUAUUCCGGGUGGUGAGUUAUUCCGGGUGGUGAGUUAUUCCGGGUGGUGAGUCAAUCCAGGUGGUGAGUCAAUCCAGGUGGUGAGUUAUUCCGGG
Oncorhynchus tshawytscha (Chinook salmon) is the source of this 442-nucleotide long non-coding RNA. Lineage: Eukaryota; Metazoa; Chordata; Actinopteri; Salmoniformes; Salmonidae. The record is from Ensembl.